GGCUCAGGAUGAACGCUAGCUACAGGCUUAACACAUGCAAGUCGAGGGUAGCAGGGUAGCAAUACCGCUGACGACCGGCGCACGGGUGAGUAACACGUAUCCAACCUUCCCAUAACUCAGGGAUAGCCUUUCGAAGGAAAGAUUAAUACCUGAUAGUACUUUUUCAAGGCAUCUUGAGAAAGUUAAAGAUUUAUUGGUUAUGGAUGGGGAUGCGUUCCAUUAGAUAGUUGGUGAGGUAACGGCUCACCAAGUCUUCGAUGGAUAGGGGUUCUGAGAGGAAGGUCCCCCACAUUGGUACUGAGACACGGACCAAACUCCUACGGGAGGCAGCAGUGAGGAAUAUUGGUCAAUGGGCGAGAGCCUGAACCAGCCAAGUAGCGUGAAGGAUGAAGGUCCUCUGGAUUGUAAACUUCUUUUGUAUGGGAGCAAUAAGGCCUACGAGUAGGUUGAUGAGAGUACCAUACGAAUAAGCACCGGCUAACUCCGUGCCAGCCGCUGC
This 499-nucleotide ribosomal RNA is filed under the name uncultured bacterium. RNAcentral describes it as "bacterial SSU rRNA". It matches the Rfam family "Bacterial small subunit ribosomal RNA", at positions 21 to 518 of the family's 1533-position model. The record is from RNAcentral.